UAAGAUUAAGCCAUGCAUGUGUCAGUACAAGCCGAACUAAGGCGAAACCGCGAAUAGCUCAUUAAAUCAGUUAUUGUUUACCCUACAGUAAAUGUACAUGGAUAACUGUGGUAAUUCUAGAGCUAAUACAUGCAGGAAGCCCUGACCUCUUGUAGGCACGGGCGCAGUUAUUAGAUCAAAAACCAAUCAGCAGCAUUUUCGGAUGCAGCUGUCUUUUGGUGAAACUGAGUAACCACAGCAAACCGUAUAGCCUCGCGCUUGACGGUCUGUAGGUCAAGCAACUGCCUUAUCAGCUUGUUGUUAGGUUACAUGCCUAACAAGGCGUCAACGGGUAACGAACGAUCGGGGUCGGACAUCGGAGAGGGAGCCUGAGAAACGGCUACCACAUCCAAGAGAA
RNAcentral lists this ribosomal RNA (397 nucleotides) under Macrobiotus hufelandi. RNAcentral describes it as "bacterial SSU rRNA". It matches the Rfam family "Eukaryotic small subunit ribosomal RNA", at positions 40 to 423 of the family's 1831-position model. The record is from RNAcentral. Lineage: Eukaryota; Metazoa; Tardigrada; Eutardigrada; Parachela; Macrobiotidae.